Molecule: ribosomal RNA, 473 nt
Filed under: uncultured bacterium
Lineage: Bacteria
Description: bacterial SSU rRNA
Rfam family: Bacterial small subunit ribosomal RNA
Source: RNAcentral
UGGGGAAUUGUUCACAAUGGGCGCAAGCCUGAUGACGCAACGCCGCGUGGGGGAUGAAGGUCUUCGGAUCGUAAACCCCUGUCGAAUGGGACGAAAGACUCGCGAGUGAAUACUUCGCGAGAGUGACGGUACCGUUAAAGGAAGCCACGGCUAACUCUGUGCCAGCAGCCGCGGUAAUACAGAGGUGGCAAGCGUUGUUCGGAAUUACUGGGCGUAAAGGGCGCGUAGGCGGCCCUCUAAGUCAGACGUGAAAUCCCCCGGCUUAACCUGGGAACUGCGUCUGAUACUGGAGGGCUUGAGUAUGGGAGAGGGAUGUAGAAUUCCAGGUGUAGCGGUGAAAUGCGUAGAUAUCUGGAGGAAUACCGGUGGCGAAGGCGGCAUCCUGGACCAUUACUGACGCUGAGGCGCGAAAGCUAGGGGAGCAAACGGGAUUAGAUACCCCAGUAGUCCCUGAGCGGGCUGGCAAGGCGCAU